GAGGGGGCGAACACUAGAGCCGCAUGCUCACAAACAAUUUGAAAGCCAACAGCGAGAAUAAGAGGAAGAAUUAAAACUUCAAGAUCGGGUCUCGUGAAGUCUGUUUACAAAGAGUGGAGGCUGCCUGCGGGGGUCAGCUGUGUGAUGACAGAGAAACCUGACAUGAGCGUUGAACCUCUUUGAAUCACUGCAGAAACACCGAGAGGACGAACAUCUUAAGGCAGUGAUAGCGCAGUUGGAGAGUCUGCCACAGUCCAUGGAAAAGUUGUAGGAGUUGGAAUUUACACGUGUCUCAAAAGGAUGAAGAUGCUGAUCAAGUUGUUGAGAAAGCGGAGAGGGAGAGGAGAGAGGUUCUUCAAAAGGACGAGGAGAUACUGAGUUUGCAGAUGUGGAUUCGCUUGCGAAUCAUUUGGAGAGUCAGUUCCUCUUGAGAGACCGGCUCCUUCAGAGGGAGCGAGAGAAGCUGGAGCAGGUCGACCAGCUGAGAAAAACAUUGAUGACACUGGAGGACGAGCAGCACUUGUUUCUGCUGCAAAAGAACAACGAACUGUCCCAGCUGCAGACCGAGCUGGAGGAGGCACUAGCUGAAGCUCUAACCUGGGAAAGGAAGUAGAGCCACAUUCAGGAAACUGCUGCAAAGAAAACACUCUUACUGGGACAGAUCAAGAUGGCGACCCUCAACCUCUAUGAAAUGACAGGUGGCACGUUAGAAGGAGAGGAAGGUGUUGAUAUAAAUGACACGGAGAAACAUCUGGACAAGCUACUACUUCCUCCUCCUUAGCGAUGACCUUCAGUUCGUCGGCAGGGGAUGGAGACGUCGGCCUGUAGAGGAUCAACUGUAGCUCUUCAUCUGGACUGGUCAGCAACUUUUCUACUAUAUGACCGUGAAACAUC
This is a long non-coding RNA of Lates calcarifer (barramundi perch), 894 nucleotides long. RefSeq lists it as uncharacterized. NCBI's taxonomy places the organism in Eukaryota, Metazoa, Chordata, Actinopteri, Centropomidae. The record is from RefSeq and is a predicted model, not a curated record. The transcript is spliced from 7 exons.